GUUACUGCCGGGCCGGUGGAGGGGUGAAGACGGAGGGGGCAGGCGUUGUCCGGGAGCGUUGGGCUGAAAGCGCGUGGAGGCUGCCCUGUAAGUCCGCUGGGAAAGCCGGGGGCUCAACCCUCGGAUGCCGGUGGAUACUGUCGGGCUCGAGUACGGAAGAGGCGAGUGGAAUUCCUGGUGUAGCGGUGAAAUGCGCAGAUAUCAGGAGGAACACCAAUUGCGAAGGCAGCUCGCUGGGACGUUACUGACGCUGAGACGCGAAAGCGUGGGGAGCAAACAGGAUUAGAUACCCUAGUAGUC
This 300-nucleotide ribosomal RNA is filed under the name uncultured Collinsella sp. RNAcentral describes it as "bacterial SSU rRNA". It matches the Rfam family "Bacterial small subunit ribosomal RNA", at positions 496 to 795 of the family's 1533-position model. The record is from RNAcentral. Lineage: Bacteria; Bacillati; Actinomycetota; Coriobacteriia; Coriobacteriales; Coriobacteriaceae.